Oryza sativa Japonica Group (Japanese rice) is the source of this 208-nucleotide microRNA precursor. It matches the Rfam family "MIR812 microRNA precursor family". Lineage: Eukaryota; Viridiplantae; Streptophyta; Magnoliopsida; Poales; Poaceae. The record is from Rfam.
AAAAAAAGAAACUCUAGGUUUCCGUGUCCACCGUUUGACUGUCCAUUUUAUAAGAAUUUUUUUUUAUAAUUAGUAUUUUCAUUGUUGUUAAAUGAUAAAACAUGAUUAAUACUUUAUGUGUGACUUAUCUUUUUAAUUUUUUUUCAUAUUUUUUUAAAUAAGACAAAUGGUCAAACGUUGGACAUUGAAACAUAGUGUUUGUCUUCUU